RNAcentral lists this long non-coding RNA (209 nucleotides) under Mytilus galloprovincialis (Mediterranean mussel). The record is from RNAcentral. Lineage: Eukaryota; Metazoa; Mollusca; Bivalvia; Mytilida; Mytilidae.
CUGGGCCAUUUAAAGCUUACAAUGCUUUAUAAGUUUUGCUUUUUUGUUGAAUGCCAUAUAGUGACCUAUAGCUACUAUCAUUUCGUCUCUGGUGGUGAGUUGUUUUAUUGGAAAUCAUACCACAUCUUCAUAUUUUUGUGCUGACUUUACUUUAAAAGUUUUCUUAUAAAUUUAAAAUUUGUAGGCUUUAUUGUCUUCCAUCCUUUUAC